UGGGGAAUUUUGGACAAUGGGGGCAACCCUGAUCCAGCAAUGCCGCGUGCAGGAUGAAGGCCUUCGGGUUGUAAACUGCUUUUGGUAGGGAAGAAACGGUGAGUACUAAUACUAUUUACUAAUGACGGUACCUACAGAAUAAGCACCGGCUAACUACGUGCCAGCAGCCGCGGUAAUACGUAGGGUGCGAGCGUUAAUCGGAAUUACUGGGCGUAAAGCGUGCGCAGGCGGUUGAGUAAGUCUGAUGUGAAAUCCCUGGGCUUAACCUAGGAAUUGCAUUGGAUACUGCUCGACUAGAGUAUGUCAGAGAGAGAUGGAAUUCCACGUGUAGCAGUGAAAUGCGUAGAGAUGUGGAGGAACACCGAUGGCGAAAGCAGUCUCUUGGGAUAAUACUGACGCU
Molecule: ribosomal RNA, 400 nt
Filed under: uncultured bacterium
Lineage: Bacteria
Description: bacterial SSU rRNA
Rfam family: Bacterial small subunit ribosomal RNA
Source: RNAcentral